Molecule: ribosomal RNA, 118 nt
Filed under: Pteropus alecto (black flying fox)
Lineage: Eukaryota; Metazoa; Chordata; Mammalia; Chiroptera; Pteropodidae
Also listed under: 1 other name
Source: RNAcentral
GUCUAUGGCCAUGCUACCCUGAACAAGCCCAAUCCCAUCUGAUCUCGGAAGCUAAGCAGGGUCAGAGCUGGUUAAUACUUGGAUGGGAGACCACCUAGAAUACCAGGUGCUGUAGGCA